Molecule: ribosomal RNA, 409 nt
Filed under: uncultured microorganism
Description: bacterial SSU rRNA
Rfam family: Archaeal small subunit ribosomal RNA
Source: RNAcentral
GUGCAGCAGGCGCGAAACUUUACAAUGUGCGAAAGCACGAUAAGGGAACUCUGAGUGCCUCCUAAGGAGGCUGUUCAGGUGUCUAAAAGCACCUGAAGGAAGGGCUGGGUAAGACCGGUGCCAGCCGCCGCGGUAACACCGGCAGCCCAAGUGGUAGCCACGUUUAUUGGGUCUAAAGCGUCCGUAGCCGGCUGGGUAAGUUCCUUGGGAAAUUUGGCUGCUUAACAGUCAAGCUUUCAGGGAAUACUGCUCGGCUUGGGACCGGGAGAGGUCAGAGGUACUCCAGGGGUAGGGGUGAAAUCCAUUAAAUCCUUGGGGGACCACCGGUAGCGAAGGCGUCUGACCAGACCGGGUCCGACGGUGAGGGACGAAGGCUAGGGGCGCGAACCGGAUUAGAUACCCCUGUAGU